Molecule: transfer RNA, 84 nt
Filed under: Patescibacteria group bacterium
Lineage: Bacteria
Description: tRNA-Leu
Rfam family: tRNA
About the family: Transfer RNA (tRNA) molecules are approximately 80 nucleotides in length.
Source: RNAcentral
GCCGAAGUGGUGAAAUUGGCAAACACGCUGCGUUCAGGUCGCAGUGACCGCAAGGUCUUGGGGGUUCAAGUCCCCCCUUCGGCA